Molecule: ribosomal RNA, 34 nt
Filed under: Tiquilia darwinii
Lineage: Eukaryota; Viridiplantae; Streptophyta; Magnoliopsida; Boraginales; Ehretiaceae
Also listed under: 3 other names
Description: partial 26S ribosomal RNA
Source: RNAcentral
CCGCGACCCCAGGUCAGGCGGGACCACCCGCUGA